RNAcentral lists this long non-coding RNA (451 nucleotides) under Phoenix dactylifera (date palm). RNAcentral describes it as "long non-coding RNA (PDAC_LNC017514)". Lineage: Eukaryota; Viridiplantae; Streptophyta; Magnoliopsida; Arecales; Arecaceae. The record is from RNAcentral.
CCUAGUACACAUAAAUGAUGAGUUAAUUAAUAGAAAAAGAAAAAGAGAAAGAAAAGAAAAGAUUUAGAGAAUGGAGGAGUUGAAUCAAUUAAAGUUCUCUAUAUUAUAAUUGGCACGUAGAUUAUAGCCCUUGAUACAAGACUAAAUGUAUUGUAAAUGCAUGUCACAGUUGGGCAAGAAGCUAGGGAACAAGAGGAAGAAGUUCCCCACUGCCUGCUGUAGAUUUUUGGAGGCGUAUCAGGGCUGUACCGGAUUGACAAGUGAGUGGGAGUCAUGUACUUUGCACCAUGAGCAUCCUUAAUUCAUUUUCAUGAAUACCGCCAAGUGUGAAUUAAUUCCACUUGUGCAUAUUGAUUGAUAUUGUAGUAGAUUCCUCUAUAAUCUUGUUUCUCCAUACUUGAUUAUACUCUUUUAUGAGUAGUUAAAUUGGAUUUGAAUUGUGAAAUGAUUU